GGAAGGGGCUCCCCCUGACUCGGGGCCCCGGGCGGAGGGUGGAGGGGGCUCCCCCUGACUCGGGGCUCUCGGCGGAGGGUGGAAGGGGCUCCCCCUGACUCGGGGCCCCGAGCGGAAGGUGGAGGGGGCUCCCCCUGACUCAGGGCCCACAAGGUUGACUUUCCAUCAUCCUCCUGGGAGGACCCAGACAGAUAGAUGAGACGCCAGUUUUUCCACUUGAAUCGUAAUCUUCAAACAGGCGAGGAUUGUUGACAAACACAUUGCUGAUGAUGGGAGAAGAUGGAUGUAACCCGGGGGGUCCUACAGCGGGGAGCUGGUUAAGGAAUCCACCGACCUCAGCUGCAGAGCGCCCCUUCCAGACUCGCCGUCGCCUUUCGAUAGAGGGUGCCACCGGAUGGAGACAACACGGAAGGAGAGACAAGCCUUACAGAGACAACGUCCAGCGCCAGGCAGGACGCCGGAGGAAAGAGCCUGUAGGUGGUGCUGGUGGGAGAAGGAAAUGGUACAAGCGCGGCGGAAAACCUGUGGCAGUUACCCAGUGACAUUGACACACGUGCUCUCCGAUUCCGCCAAAUCACGGGGAGCACAGCCCACAGAAAGGCCUGCACACCCCUGAAAGAUGCUCACAGGGACGCCACGGCCCUGCUCCUCCUCACGAGGGGAGAGGGAAAUGGCUGUAAUACCCAUCUAUGGUAGAAAAGAUCGAUAACUUGGAAACGGGUAAAUAUUCAGGAUGAAAUGUUAUCCCGUAACCCACAUGAACCCUCUGUAAUUCCUCUCAACAGUGCGGAUGAACCUCGCAAAGAAAAUGUGCGAAAGGAACUAACUAGAAAAUACAAAGCACUGUACGAUUCUAUUUAUAUAAUGUGCAAAAACGAAUGCGCUGAUAAAAGCUAAGAUUGUAGUUAUCUCUGGGCAUGGGCAGAGGACAGGAAGGACUUCUGGACGCGGUAAUGUUCUCUUUAUUAAUCUGGUGACACGCGCGUCCCGCUGAGUGAAAGUUCACUGAGCUGUACCUUGCAUGCACCAUUUUGUGAAUAUGUCAGACAUACAUCAUUAGUAAUUGACUUGGAGAAAUAAUAAAAGGAUCUGCAAGGAUACAGCCAGAGAAAUACAAAUCCAACGAGUAAGAAGUAAAAAUUAUUGUUAGACAAUGUAGAGUUUAAGGUUAAAAUAAUUACAUUGAAUAGAGUGGCUGAUUGUAUAUCAAUAAAACAUCAACCUGGUGAAUGUGGCGAAAAACCUGGCAGCUAAAUGCAUGAAGCAAGAAUGGUGGUAAGCACGAGAAGGUCCUGAGAAAAAUCCAAUGUGCCAUUUCAAUGCAUCUAUCUUACAAUUGUAUUUUUUAUUUUUUGAGAUGGAGUCUUGCUCUGUCACCCAGGCUGGAGUGCAGUGGUGCAGUCUCUGCGGUGACUGCAGAGGUCACCGCAACCUCUGCCUCCCAGGUUCAAGAAGUUCUCCUGCCUCAGCCUCCUGAGUAGCUGAGAUUACAGGCAUGUGCCACCACGCCUGGCUCAUUUUUGUAUUUUUAGUAAAGACGGGGUUUCAUCAUGUUGACCAUGCUGAUCUGGAACUCCUGACCUCAGGUGAUCUCCCCGCCUUGGCAUCCCAAAGUGUUGGAAUUACAGGUGUGAGGCACCGCGCCCGGCUUAUCUUAGAAUUUUAAAGAUGUAGAGACAAACAACCAAAUGCAUAUGAGAAUUGUGUGAUAAAACCCACAAAUGUGUUGAAGUUAGAUAGAGGCUUACAUGCCUGAAGCAGAGAAUGUGCAUUUUUAUACGGAUAUAAAAAUUUAGCAAAAUUCCUUCAUACAUGUGGGCACACACACACGGACCUGAACAAAUCCCGUAAUGCUGAUAUGAUCCACCCCACUCUUUGAUCAUAAGUCAAUCACAUUUAAAACAAAUUAUGUAAAUAACAUUCUGGAAAUUGCUGGUGCUCACUCAUAUUUCUGGUUCUUCCAUACGUCCUGUGUUUCAGGAAAGACAGGCCAGGUCAUGUGACUUGCUUUGGCCAAUGGCGUGCAAGGGGAGGGGAGGGACCCGCCUCCCAGAAGAUGCUCUGAGGACCCCUCAUGGUCCCCAUCUAGUCUCCAGCAGUGGUGGUUGCGGAUGCUUGUGGGCAGGUGGAGGUGCCCUGGAACCGAGGGAGCUCAGAGGGGAAAAUUCAGCAACAUGACUGGAUAUAAAGGAAACAUAGGCCUGACACGGUGGCUCACGCUUGUAAUCCUAGCACUCUGGGAGACCAAGGUGGGCCGAUCACCUGAGGUUGGGAGUUCGAGACCAGCCUGGCUAACGUGGUGAAACUCCACCUCUACUAAAAGUACAAAAUUAGCCGGGUAUGGUGGCACGUGCCUGUAACCCCAGCUACUCGGGAGACUAAGACAGGAGAAUCACUUGAACCCAGGAGGUGGAGGUUGCAGUGAGCCGAGAUUGUGCCAUUGCACUCCAGCUUGGGCAACAGUGCGAAACUUCGUCUUAAAAAAAAGUUUUCUCCCUUCUAGCAAUCAGUGCUAGAAAUAGAACUAGAAAUAUACUCUUUUGCACACACACAGGCACAAACAUAGGACAGUAUUUCUCUAGAAAGAGCACACAUGAAGAGAAGUACAGGACAUUACUAAAUGACAAGAGAAUAUCUACAAAACGAAACCUCUCAUGUGUUUUGGGGUAAGGAUACAUUAUGAAAACUAUCACUUCUCCUAAAUGAAUAUGUAAAUUUACAGCAAUUCCAAUUAGAUUCCUGCGUGGCCCCCGUGAGGCCCAACUGCGGAUCAGAUAUCCCCACAUGACAGUGGUUUCAGCAAGAAAGAAUUGCAUUUAGUGGUGUUUACCUUUUAAAACCUGCAUGAAUGUUCUUAUGAUAGAAAUGAAAAUGGAAUCACAGAAGAUGAAGGGCGAGGGAGGCCCAUUGUGGGCAGCCUCAGGGAGGCUCAAGAGGGAGCCGCCAUCAUCCUUACCGCCAACCUCCUCCUCCUCCACUGGGCUGUCAAUGUCUCAGAGGGGGGCUUCUGGUGCCCUCGGGCUCAGGCCAGCUCCUCCUUCCUCUCCCCUCCCAUGGAAGGACACCUCAUGACAGGACCCCCUUGUGUCAUUGAAAUCCAUGCACUUUAUGAGUCUAAGUCGUUUGUCUUCACGGGAAAUGUUAUUAUUCCCCAUCAAGCACUGAAACCAGGAAUCCCUGGGUGUAAACGCAAGGUCACUGCCUGAUCAACAGCACACACGCAGCCAUGCUGCUGGAUUCGGCCUCUGCAGUUUGGGAGGCUAGAGAGGCUUCAGCGUAUGUCGCCGGCUCUGAACUCCAGACGAUUCAAAUACUAAGAAGAAAAAUGGGGGCUGACUCCUGUCUGAGGCUGCUGUCCGGGGUGAUUUGAGCCGGGCUCCGAGGGCCUUCCCUGAGAGCCUCCCGCUCUGUGCGGACGGAGAGCCUCAGUGGCACUAGGACCCACAUGGAUGCCCAGUGUCCUGGACCCCUGUGGACAUGCUUUCUGCCCUGUGUGGCCUCGGACCAGGAGCCUGGGGGCGUCUGCUGCCUCUGUCUGCCUGGCAGACGCUGCUUGUCUGGGACAGCCCAGCUCCACUAGGCCAGCCCACGGCCACCAUGGCCACAGAGGAUCAUGGCUCUGAGGGCUUUUCCAGAAUGAAAGGUGGGAGGAAGGAAGCUGGGCUGGGUUGCUUUUCCUACACAUUCAUUCAUUCACUCCUUCAGUGAUUUGUGUAACUGCCAGUUUCUCCGGGGAGGGAUGGACGGCUGCUGGGGUCCUCUCUUUCCUGCCUUUCACCUCCGCACCUGCUGCAGGUGUGGGGUUGGCCGUCUGAGUUCCUCCACUGGCUCCUCACGCAUCAGAGAAGAGUGUGUCGCUACUCUCACCCUAGGCGCUGGAAAGCAGAAACACCGAGGUGCGGGAGUAGGUCAUCUUUACUAAAAAUGGUAGGAAAAGAAAACAGUGAGCCAAAGGGGGAGAUGUGGUGAAGGUGCCCACUGUCACCUGGACGUGAGGCACGGGCCCCGAUGCUGGCAGCUGUGCCCGAGCAGGUGGAUUUGGGAUCCUCAUGCAGCUCUGGGCUCUGGCGUCGUGACUGGGAUGGGGUCCUGGUGGCUUCUCCUCUGAGGGAAAGAGAGGGAGGGCAGCACGGAUUCCUCCCCAGCGACCAACCUCCUUUAGACGCGCUUAGACUUCCUGACUGCGUCCCGCUGACGUCGCAAUUGAAAAGCACAUAGGUGAUAACAACAGAGGCGGUUUUUUAGUGGAGACUCUUACAGCCAAACAGAUGUGGAAAGCAAGAGCUGCCUCUGACCUUUGCUUAGAAUAUCAAUUUUCCCAUUCUGAUUUUUGCUUUUCCGGGAAUUGUUUUGUUUUGUUUUUAUCUAGAGUAAGAGGGAUUAUACCUAAUUAGGCACUGUCACUGCCAAGGAAUUAAUUGCAAUCUCUGAAUAUUUUGGCUUUUUUGAGCUGUGCGGCAAGUUUUUAAUUACUGUCUACUGACUCUGCCAUUUUUGUCAACAACAAAUCCGUCCUCCUCGCUGUGGCUGCAAAUAGUGCCGUCUUCACUCAGCAUCUUCCACAACCUUGGCCUUCCCCUUGGGUGACCAGUGUCUGGAAGUCACCCACUGCCUUCCCGUGGAGGUCAGAUCCCUUAACUCACUGAAUAAUUAGAUUUCCAUAAAAAUCCAAGAGAGCCACGUCUGACAAGUGACCGCGUUUCUGUGCCAUUUACGAUCCCCACACACCUUGACCACUCUUUAGGGAUGGCUCUUUAUAUUUUAAUGAAAGAAAGCCAAUUAGCUAUAAACUGAUUACUAAGAACAUAAUCAGGGUCAUUUCUUUGCAACAAAUCAAUCAACAAAAUGGUAAUUAUGGAUGGCCUUUUAGACUUGGAUUAAUCUAUUAGUAAUUAAAGUGAGUGCAAAUCCAACCUCGAUCUUAAUUGUAGCCAAAAGGCACAGACGUCUUUUCGUUGACCGAUAAGAUGCUGUUAUUUAGCUUCAUGCGGAAGGAAAACCCAUCAAUUGUCUGGAACUUCAUGGCUCUAAUAACACGUUCAGAGGGGGUCUUUGGAAGCGUUCAUGGGAAAUGUAACUGGGGUUAUGCUUUGGAAAGAU
This 5100-nucleotide long non-coding RNA is filed under the name Macaca mulatta (Rhesus monkey). RNAcentral describes it as "lncRNA (ENSMMUG00000054199.1)". The record is from RNAcentral. Lineage: Eukaryota; Metazoa; Chordata; Mammalia; Primates; Cercopithecidae.